Siniperca chuatsi (mandarin fish) is the source of this 7159-nucleotide long non-coding RNA. RefSeq lists it as uncharacterized. Lineage: Eukaryota; Metazoa; Chordata; Actinopteri; Centrarchiformes; Sinipercidae. The record is from RefSeq and is a predicted model, not a curated record. The transcript has 5 exons.
AGAAGAGAAGAUAAAUAAAUGUAAGAUUUAUUUAUUAAGCUUUUUAGGUUUUCUCAGGUCAUUUAACAUGUAGGCUAUAUCGAAACAUUCGACUUCCUUAUGUUUUGCAUAAGCGUGAUGAUGAGUGGCAGCUAAGCGUGCAAAAUAUGAUGUGAUACUGUCACAAGAGUAGAUAAAACAUGCUCAUACAGAUACAGGAAUUAAAAUGAAAACACAGCAGAGCAAUGUGCAUGUGAUAUAAAUGAUCAACAUGUGCACAGAGAUGCUGAAAGAAGCAACAUGAUGAAGCGUUCCCAAACCAGACUCAACAACCUCUUAGCAGUAAGAGCACGUUAGUCCACGGAACAAUGAAAAUGUUACCAGAACCACACAGUGCGUACUGCACCUUUAAAAUAUUAAAAUGCUGCCGCUGAUGCUGCAGACACCAUACUGGCAGGUGUUUCAUUUCAGGCAAUCUCAAUUAUGAGCAGGAUCAUUACAGCAAACACCCAUCAGGUUCUGUUUAGUUACUGUCUCACACUGGUUGAUAACAAUUCAAUCAUUUUCUUUUUGUUUUGUUUUAUUUGAGCUGAAGAUCUCAACCUUUCCUAACAGGUCUGAGAUCAGCUUUUGAAAAUUGUAAAUCCAAAUCAAGGAGCAGAGGAAGCCUCCAAACUGACCCAAAGCCAGCUGUUAGGGAUAAACCUCCCUCUGCUCCUCUCUGCUGCCCCUCAGAAAGGAUCCUUUGUACCAGGCCCCAUGGGUGCCUCAGAGCUGUGGUUUUAGCUUUCAUUGACACAAACUUUAGCCAAUAGGACCCUCACCUAUUCAUGGACAGGAAGGGAGAAAACUGCAAGAAAUAACUUGGUUCAGGGGCAGAAAUUCCUAAAUGAAAUGCUCUGCCAUCGUUGAGAUUGCUCGAAUGGUCAAGACCAACCGAGAGGUCUCCUAUCAUGGAAUACUUCACAGCGUUUGGAGGGGAAAAAAAGGCAAAGUGACAAGGUGGACAUCAGCUCCCCUUUCUUAAUCUGGACCAGCUGGUGAUGGCUGGGUUUGGCUCAGCUGGGACCUCCCCAUGAACUCUAACACCUCAUGUCCAAUCUACACCACAAGGCGGCGCACCUGGACAUUCAAAGUGAUCUCUUACCUGCCCACAUGAAGAGACAUGUCAUCUACUUUACUACCACUCCAGCAAAACUCAGCGUGGCCCUCAUACAGCCUUAUAUUACACCCCCACUAUCCAUUCCAUACUGCCAGCUGGGCCUGCAGACGGAUUCCUCCAGAUGUGCUGCACUCUGAUUGGCUGUUUCCUCACUGGCCUCAGUCACUAAGUCUCAUAUUUCCCAUUCUGAUGCAGAAGAAAGCGCUAAGGAUUAUGGGUGGAGUGGAUCCUCUCAUGUCAGGGGUGGCUGUCCACCUGUCAGCCAGCUGUACCAGUAGCGUGCGAUAGCUGGAGAGGGACAGGAAAGGCACGGGAGAGAGAGAGGGGAUGACAUGCAGCAAAGGACCUGGGCUGGAAUCGAACCUAGGCCGCUGCGGUAAGGACUCAGAAGUGCAGUUUCUUGAGGAUCACAGGAAAUGGAAGGACGCAAGGAGUUUCCGCAAGACCUUCAAUGGGACCUACACUUCCUCUACAUUGAGACCCCGUUGCUGUCCUGCAAGAAGGAGCUGGGAUGGAGAGGAUGCUGAUGAUGAGGAAGUAUAUUCCAAAGUCAUGACCCAGGGAAACAAUAUAUAUACAUAUAUAUAUAUAUAUAUAAAGAGAAGCCUGCAGGGAGAUAAUAAAGAUGAAUAUAAAAGGUGCCUUCAGAGAAAGCAAGUACAUGAAAGACAACACCUCCGAUAUCAAACAAGAGUCAGCUUAAUUGAUGUUUAAUUUGAUUAACAGACUCUUAAUUACAUUGAUUUAGUGAACUGUCUCAGAUAAUCUAUAAUUGAACUGAAUCACAUAACUCCUGCUUUUCCAUUUAUAUAAAAUGUGUUUGUCGUCAAAACAAAUUAACAGAUUCAUUACUCUUUAAACUGCCUUCUGGUAUCCAACAAAGUAUCGUUUUUUGGGAGAGGACAUUUAGAAAGUUAAAGUAUGUCUCUGUUUUUCUUUUACUUACAGACAUGAACGCACACACACACACGCAGUGGCACACUCAUCCCUUUUCUCCUCUCUCUCCUAUUCUAAAAAUCCUCCUCCACUCUGACUAUAUCCUCGUUUCACAAGCUCCACAUCAUCACUUCUCCUGACUUUCUCCCCAAGUCGUCCUCUCAUUCUCUUUUCUUCCCUGCCUGUAGCGCAGCUGGUCUGGAUCCAUGGUUUUGGAUCACAGUCCAAAUGUUAGGGUUUGCUGUCCAGAGAAAACACUGUGCAGAGCCAAACAAAAGGAGAAACUGAAGUUACUGCAGGCAACAGUUUUCUGUGUGCUGUGAUACUGUUAAGAGAUACAGAUUUGAAGCACUGCUGUUUGUAUUUGAUAUGGAUCCCCACUGCUUUGUUUCAAAGCUCAGAAAAAGCCAGAUUUGUGCACCAUUUAUUUUAAAUCUGAAUAUAUUGGGGAGUAAUGUCUCUCUUAAAUGACAUAGGAGGAGGCCAAUCUGAUGCCGCAGCAUGAAGUCCCUCCUCCUCCCUGCUGCAAGUCAAACCUGUCUGUGACUGAAAACAAAUGUUGCACUAAUAACCCUCACAAGUACUGAAUGUUAAAGAGCCCUAGUUGUUGGGCUGACAAAGGUAAGUUUGUGCAAAUACACACAGUGAGGUUAUUAAAUCAGUGCACUAGAGGAAAAUACUGAUAAAAUAUUGCUUAUUGCACUGGCUGAUUUGCAUCUGCAGUCCCUUGGCAGCAUUUAAAAACACAUAAUUUUACUAGAUAUUAAACAAUACAGUACACAAUAAAAUACAAAUAAUACAUACAGUGCAUGCAUGUGCAUGUAACAUAACAUAUCAAAUUAGCAGCGAUAUAAGUAUAUUUAUUCCCAUGCUUCUUUUGAAAAUAAAAGACAGACAUGUGUUCUUAAAUGACAAUCCAUUUAUUACCAUGGAUUUGGAGCAUUAAAGAAACUUAAUUUAGGAAAGUGGAAUACACUAAUUGGUGAAAAUGUGGCUUGCUUCAGGAAAACCCCAGGUGAGUUCCUGCUGAGUGUCUGUAACCACAGGUACUGUGUUUAGAAGUUAGUGGCUGACCAAGUAUGUUUAUUACAGUCCUCACAGACAAACAGGCCUCAUGGUGGCUUGUGGUUUGUGCAGGUAAGGGUUGUUACACAUCACUAUAGCACAGUGCAGCCUUUAAAACAACACAGGUACAUGUGAAAAGGAAGUAGGCGCUGUAUUGAUAAUAUAGAUAGAGAAAACCACAAACACAGUACAGUAAUAAAUGCCAAGCCUUUAAUUUUCUCCUUUAUAUGUGUACACUCAUAUAUACAGUAUUGUAAAGAACACUAAAGAAGAUAAUUAGACACAUUUAUAAUUUCCCUCUGUGUUAACAAUAGAUCUGCUUCAGGUAAGUCUAUGAAAUGAAGGUCUCAGUAACAGCAGGACUUCCAUAUAAAGGGAUUAUGUUUAACUUAGCUAAUCAGCAAAUUGCUCAAAGUUUAUGCGAGUACUCUGACAGUAAUAGUGUUCUCCACAGAAGCUUGUUGCUCGGCUUGAAAUGCUUUAUGUUUCCUGUGUAUAUUCCUAUAUAUAUGUUGCUUUGCAUAGCUGUGGAAAAAAUAACUGUAGGUUGUUGCUCUGUGAGAAAAAAAUGCCUCUUAGAACAUAAGAUGAAGAAAAUGUGUGUUUUAGCAUGAUAGGUCAUGUUAAAUGUAUCUGACAAACACUAACAUAAUAUGUGCCUGUGUUUGUUUCUGGUUGUGUGUACAUGUGUGAAUGUUAUUAGAAGCUUGUGAAGCUGUGCUGCUGGUCAUGGUUGGUGAUCAGGGUCAUCUGUGCCUCCAUCAAACUCCCCUCAACACUAGAGCAAUUUUCUUUAUGCAAAAUAAUUUGGGUGUGUGAGAUCACUUAUGCAGGCUUCUGUUUUGUUUGUGUAUACAUGCAUGUGCGUGAGAGAGUAAAUUCAUGUUUGUGUGUACAUCCCCAGCAUGGAAAAAAAAAGCCUCCUCCUCACCUGGAAUACAUUACAUCCUCAUGGAACCAUGUGGUGGGCACAUGAGUCUUAAAGUGGCAGGGGUCGUCUUUCCCACAUUACAGUCAUUAGUAGUUCGCCCCCCCGCCAGGCUGGCUGUUUGGACCGGCCCGAUGACAUUGGCCCGAUGACAUCAUCACAAGCUGGGUGAGGUGGACCCCUUGUUGUCUUCUUAGGGCGAUGUAAUAGCUUCAGCUACCUUUCUACUCCCAGUUGCUAGUCAAGGUGUCAUCUGAGGCUAAGUACUAGGUUAACAUAAAACACUUGUUUUAGGUAACCAGUACAACAAAGAGUAAUGUUUUUAAAUUCUCAUCUUUCUGAAUUAGGGUCUUGAAUUGUGCAGGAGGGAUGAUUUUUUCCAAGCCUCCAGUGCACAUCAAAUACAACCAUCUACAGAAUUAGUUAUGGUUUUUGGGAAGUCUUCCUAAUUUAACUAUAGGAGGGGUUUGUGUUGAUCUACAGUGUAUGUAGGCCGCUAGAUCCACCAGACUCAGUGUGUGUGUUUAUGUGUGUUAACCUCCUCUGCUGGUUACAUUUGGAGGUUUGGCUGAUGAUGGAAGAAAUUCCAUUUGAGAAUUACAGAUGGUUUUAUUUUUUUUCCAGUUUCUUUUGUCUCGCCCCUCCCACUCUCUCUCUGGAUGUCUUUCUCUCUCUGUGUCUCGCUCUCAUUUCUUGAGUCCUCAAUGGAAAAUCACCAUCAUAGCAAAUGCUAGCCUGCGCAUCUGUUCAAACUAACUUAGAACGUAGCUGUGUUUUCAUGUAACCAGUUGUUGAAUUUCAAAGCCAUGUCCUAUAAAUUUGCCACCCUACUUAUUACCAAGACUAGACGAAAUGUAUGACCAAUAUUUAUCAUGACAAUGCACGCACACAGUCCAUGUCCCUCCUUUUGUCAGACGAAUGAGCCAGAGGCUGCAAGCAUGAACAAAAGGGGGAGAGAUAAAGAGAGAGAGGGGGUCUAACAUUGGGUUUAGAGAGGUUGAGAGAAGAGGCUUAAGUGAGAGAGAGAGGUUAAAGAAAUAGACAGAGAGAGGGGGGAGUAAAGGGAAGGGAGGAGGUUUCAGUGUAGAGCAGGCAGCCCCUGACUAAAGCAUGAGUACAUGCCUGUUGGCUGACGUCGACUGUGAAAGUUCUACAUCUGGUUAAAAUCUACUGCCUCUGCUUUCCUUCCUCUACUUCCCUGCUUCUUCUCCUUCUUCACUUUUCAUUUUAAGUUCACCUCUUCUGUUUUUCUUAUUUGCACUUAUUCCAUUUCCUAUCUCCUCUAUGUUGCCUGAUUGCUCUGUGUUUCUUUGUCCUUUCUCUUUGUGUCUCUGUCCACAAAGACAAACAUAGAUAGAUGGAAUGAGAAACAGGAGGAGGCAUCUGAACCCAUUUCCCCUGUUUCAGUGUUGUUUGGAGGAAAGAGCGUUGCCAUUUUUCCAUUUGCCAAAGUGUUUUGCCAUUUUGCUCUUAUUCUGUAGUUCUGCGCCUACCCUCCUCCCACUUUUAAAAUGUUUUGUAACUAAAAUGUUCAGAUAACAAGAGUAGAAAGUGGAUUCUUCAUGAACAAACAUUCAGUUUAGCUGGAAUAGUUCGACAUAUUGGGAAAUACGCUUUUUUGCUAUCUUGCUGAGAGUUGAAUACCACUUUCUUGUCUGUAUGCUAAAUAUGAAUCUACUGCCAGGAGCCAGUUAUCUUAGUUUAGCACAAAGACUGGAAACAGGGGGAAACAGAGCCUGGCUCUGUCCAUAAAGCUCACAAAUUAACACGUUGUACCGCAUUUCUUUAAUCUGUAUUAAAACUGUAAAAAUGUAAAAGUGUAGAAAUGACACAGAGGUUAUGGUUAAACAGGAUUAAACAAACAAGAUAUAACCUGUUUGUUUGGACAGAGCCAGGUGAGCUGUUUUCCCUGUUUCCAGUCUUUAUGCUAAACUAAGCUAAGCUUACUGGUUGCUGACAAUAGCUUGAUAUUUACCAUACAGACAUGAGAGUGGUAUUUAUCUUUUCAACUAACUCCCGGCAAGUAAGCGAUUAAGAGUGUUGCCCAAAAUUUUGAACUGUUUCUUUAACAUGAUGAUCGAUUCUGAUGUGUUGUCUCAUAAAUACUUUGAAAAUAAAUAUGAAAAUGAGCUUAAUUUGUUACCUUUGCAACCCAGAAAAUGUCCAGAUACACUAGCCUUUUAAAGCCAAUUGGCUCCUAUUAUUAUGUUGAGAAAGGAAGUGUCCCUUCAACUAUCAGCUGACUAACUCCAGAGUUUGCCUUGUCAUGCAGGAAAGUAUUGUCUCUUUUGUAUUGUAUCUCUCGCAAGAGAUAAUUUACUAAGAAAAGGAAAAUAACGCAUGAAUUCUACUUUGGAGUUAGCACAAACUAGCAUGAAUUUGUCCAAGAGUGGAAGUUUUAAAUGAAUCAGUAUUUCCAUUGUGUGAGUGUCACACAGAUGAAUCUACUAUGGAGCCUUAAGGUGGACAUGACUUAAAACAACAAACCUUUUGCAUUGAGCAAAUGACAAAAGAACAAGGUGUUUGGUCAGACAGCUGAGUGCUGGUUUUAUAAUGUCAGUAAAGACUAAUGGAUGAGACCUUGUAAUGAAACACUGUGGUGGUCCCGACUUGUAUUGACUCCCAGCCAUUUCGAGGUUUACAGGGGGCAGGGGGACAGGUAUGAGCUUGUCACUCUCUCUCUUUCUCUCUCUCUCUCACAUACAUAUACACUUUUCCUUCUCUACAUCUGUCUACCUUUCCUCUUUUCUGUUGCUGUAUUUUAGAAAGGCCUAAUGAAAAAUGUAUUCACUUCAUCAAAUGUAACUUCCAUUUUUGACAGGUUUUACAUUUUAAAUGUUUGACUGGUUGGAAACAAAGUUUGUCUUUCUGUCCUUUUCUAUCUCUUAUUCUAUUAUUCCCUCUUUGUCAUCUCUCAGUUUCUUUAAUCUUCCUCUGUCUUUUCUUUUUUAUGUAAAAUAAUCACACACAUGCCACACACACUUCAUAGCUUCAGGGCGUGUCCACUCUUCACCCUGUUCAGUUUGUUGACCAGAGUCAUAAUGCCGGGGCGGAGUCUGAAUUAAAGGAAAAAAUCUUUUCUUUUCCUC